AACCCUUGACAUCCCUAUCGCGAAUACCAGAGAUGGUUUUCAUCAGUUCGGCUGGAUAGGUGAC
RNAcentral lists this ribosomal RNA (64 nucleotides) under uncultured bacterium. RNAcentral describes it as "partial 16S ribosomal RNA". The record is from RNAcentral.